AGGAUAAACGCUGGCGGCGUGCCUAACACAUGCAAGUCGAACGUCUCUUCUUUCGGGAAGAGGAGUGGCGGACGGGUGAGGAACACGUGGGAACCUGCCCUCCAGUGAGGAAUACCGGCGAGAAAUCGCCGACAAGACCGCAUAGCCCUCUCUGGUGAGAGCCAGAGAAGGAAAGCUUCGCAAGAGGCGCUAGAGGAGGGGCCUGCGUCCGAUUAGCUAGUUGGUGGGGUAAGAGCCUACCAAGGCGUCGAUCGGUAGCUGGUCUGAGAGGACGAUCAGCCACACUGGGAUUGAGAACGGCCCAGACUCCUACGGGGGGCAGCAGUGAGGAAUUUUCGGCAAUGGGGGAAACCCUGACCGAGCAACGCCGCGUGCAGGAAGACGGCCUUCGGGUUGUAAACUGCUUUUCUCGGGGAAGGGAAUGGACGGUACCCGAGGAAUCAGCCCGGCUAACUACGUGCCAGCAGCCGC
This 471-nucleotide ribosomal RNA is filed under the name uncultured bacterium. RNAcentral describes it as "SSU rRNA". It matches the Rfam family "Bacterial small subunit ribosomal RNA", at positions 26 to 518 of the family's 1533-position model. The record is from RNAcentral.